GCACUGAAAGUGAGAGUUGGAGGAAAGCAAACCGAUUGACCAUCCGAUUCUGCAACGGGUUCGAUGGGUAAACAUGAUUGCCGGUCGGUUUGUUUUCCUCCAAUAUCUCACCUUCAGUCG
RNAcentral lists this microRNA precursor (120 nucleotides) under Sorghum bicolor (sorghum). RNAcentral describes it as "MIR2275 microRNA precursor family". It matches the Rfam family "MIR2275 microRNA precursor family". Lineage: Eukaryota; Viridiplantae; Streptophyta; Magnoliopsida; Poales; Poaceae. The record is from Rfam by way of RNAcentral.